Molecule: long non-coding RNA, 279 nt
Filed under: Sorghum bicolor (sorghum)
Lineage: Eukaryota; Viridiplantae; Streptophyta; Magnoliopsida; Poales; Poaceae
Description: long non-coding RNA (SBIC_LNC009931)
Source: RNAcentral
AGCCCAAUACACGAGAGGGGGACUAUAUAAGAAUCAAUGAAGCUGUCACUAUCACGAACCACCCCACGAUCUGGCAUUGGGUACAAUCGCAGAUAAAUACGGUAUAAGCACCACGCCUACACAAUAUCUAUCAUUUACCCAUGGAUCCGAUGGAUAAACGCUAUACGAUCCUAAGCAUGUAUAUAGAUCCAACCUAACUAAGCCAAGUACAUAACUAUGAUAAAUUAAGAACAAUAUAAUCUUGAAUAUAAGCAAGUAGAGCAAAGUCAUAAGCAAUAU